CAGUCGCCGCGGUAAUACGUAGGUGGCAAGCGUUGUCCGGAAUUAUUGGGCGUAAAGGGCUCGCAGGCGGUUUCUUAAGUCUGAUGUGAAAGCCCCCGGCUCAACCGGGGAGGGUCAUUGGAAACUGGGAAACUUGAGUGCAGAAGAGGAGAGUGGAAUUCCACGUGUAGCGGUGAAAUGCGUAGAGAUGUGGAGGAACACCAGUGGCGAAGGCGACUCUCUGGUCUGUAACUGACGCUGAGGAGCGAAAGCGUGGGGAGCGAACAAGAUUAGAUACCCCGGUAGUCCCUGUCUCUUAUAC
Molecule: ribosomal RNA, 301 nt
Filed under: uncultured bacterium
Lineage: Bacteria
Description: partial 16S ribosomal RNA
Rfam family: Bacterial small subunit ribosomal RNA
Source: RNAcentral